Long non-coding RNA from Chenopodium quinoa (quinoa), 846 nucleotides. RefSeq lists it as uncharacterized. The record is from RefSeq and is a predicted model, not a curated record. Lineage: Eukaryota; Viridiplantae; Streptophyta; Magnoliopsida; Caryophyllales; Amaranthaceae. The transcript is spliced from 2 exons.
UAUUUAACACCUAUUGCUCUAGAUUGAUUUUAAUAUCAAUUGAAACAUCAUAAAUUGACUGAUCUCAAACGACAAUCAAAGUAACUCCCAACAUACUCUCAAACUUCUCCCUAAUACUACUACCUCUUGAUUUCACGAACAUCAAUCAGAAAAAUAAUUUCCCAAACCCCUCUGCCGAAACCACCGUUGCUCUGCCGAUACCACCGAUCCCUGCUGCCACCGUUGGUCAGCCGUACGUCGGAGAGGACUCAAGCCCGUAAGCUGCCUGCUGCCGCCGUUCACCGCUCUGGCCUCCCGUGCUUCGUCAUCCACCCAUAAAAUAUUCCGUGACCUUAUAGUGAAUCAUGUCAAACCUUGCAAUACUCGAAUUUGUUGCUCUUGAUAUUACUGGAAACAACUAUCUAUCUUGAGUGUUAGAUGCUGAAAUACAUUUAGAUGCAAAGGGACUUGGUGAUACUAUUAAAGAAAACAACACUGCAACAAGCCAAGAUAAGGCUAAAACUAUGAUAUUCCUUCGCCAUCACCUUCAUGAAGGUCUUAAGACUGAGUACUUGACUGUUAAAGACCCACAAGUCCUUUGGAGUAAUCUAAAGGAAAGGUAUGACCACCAGAAAUCUGUGAUAUUACCAAAAGCUCGUUAUGACUGGUUACAUUUAAGAUUAUAAGACUUUAAGUCUGUGAGUGAAUACAACUCAGCCAUGUUUAGAAUUACAUCACAAUUGAAAUUAUGUGGAGAGAAAAUCACGGAUGCAAAAAUGUUAGAAAAAAACAUACUCUACUUUUCAUGCAAACAAUGUUGUCGUGCAGACACAAUACCGUGAAAAGGGUUUUACAAAAUAUUCUGAA